RNAcentral lists this ribosomal RNA (500 nucleotides) under uncultured bacterium. RNAcentral's name for it is "partial 16S ribosomal RNA". It matches the Rfam family "Bacterial small subunit ribosomal RNA", at positions 30 to 523 of the family's 1533-position model. The record is from RNAcentral.
AUUGAACGCUGGCGGAAUGCUUUACACAUGCAAGUCGAACGGCAGCACGGACUUCGGUCUGGUGGCGAGUGGCGAACGGGUGAGUAAUGUAUCGGAACGUGCCCAGUCGUGGGGGAUAACGUAGUGAAAAUUACGCUAAUACCGCAUACGAUCUAUGGAUGAAAGCGGGGGAUCGCAAGACCUCGCGCGAUUGGAGCGGCCGAUAUCAGAUUAGGUAGUUGGUGGGGUAAAGGCCCACCAAGCCAACGAUCUGUAGCUGGUCUGAGAGGACGACCAGCCACACUGGAACGGGGCAACGGUCCGGACUCCUACGGGAGGCAGCAGUGGUGAAUUUUGGACAAUGGGCGAAAGCCUGAUCCAGCCAUUCCGCGUGCAGGAUGAAGGCCCUCGGGUUGUAAACUGCUUUUGUACAGAACGAAAAGGUUUCUACUAAUACUAGGAGCUCAUGACGGUACUGUAAGAAUAAGCACCGGCUAACUACGUGCCAGCCGCCGCCGUAA